RNAcentral lists this ribosomal RNA (403 nucleotides) under uncultured bacterium. Its description in RNAcentral is "partial 16S ribosomal RNA". It matches the Rfam family "Bacterial small subunit ribosomal RNA", at positions 28 to 526 of the family's 1533-position model. The record is from RNAcentral.
GACGAACGCUGGCGGCGUGCCUAAUACAUGCAAGUCGAACGCAGUGGGGACGGGUGAGUAACACGUGGGUAACCUCCCAUCAGAGGGGAUAACACUUGGAAAAAGGUGCUAACACGAUACUGAUGGAUGGACCCGCGGUGCAUUAGCUAGUUGGUGGGGUACCGGCUCACCAAGGCCACGAUGCAUAGCCGACCUGAGAGUGGGAUCGGCCACACUGGGACUUAGACACGGCCCAGACUCCUACGUGCGGCGGCAGUAGGGAAUCUUCGGCAAGGGACGAAAGUCUGACCGAGCAACGCCGCGUGAUUGAAGAAGGUUUUCUGAUCGUAAAACUCUGUUGUUAGAGAAGCGGUAUCUAACCAGAAAGCCACGGCUAACUACGUGCCAGCAGCCGCGGUAAUAC